AUACCUAUUGUCUAAUAUCAAGUUCUAGGUGAUCAAUCUAAAACUAGCAUUAAGAAUAAUCAAGAUGAAGAA
RNAcentral lists this small RNA (72 nucleotides) under Arabidopsis thaliana (thale cress). Its description in RNAcentral is "ATSL165380". Lineage: Eukaryota; Viridiplantae; Streptophyta; Magnoliopsida; Brassicales; Brassicaceae. The record is from RNAcentral.